GUACAGGCCGCAAGGUGCUGACGAGUGGCGAACGGGUGAGUAAUGCAUCGGAACGUGCCCGGUCGUGGGGGAUAACACUUCGAAAGAAGUGCUAAUACCGCAUACGAUCUGAGGAUGAAAGCGGGGGACCGUAAGGCCUCGCGCGAUCGGAGCGGCCGAUGUCAGAUUAGGUAGUUGGUGGGGUAAAGGCUCACCAAGCCAACGAUCUGUAGUUGGUCUGAGAGGACGACCAGCCACACUGGGACUGAGACACGGCCCAGACUCCUACGGGAGGCAGCAGUGGGGAAUUUUGGACAAUGGGCGCAAGCCUGAUCCAGCAAUGCCGCGUGCAGGAAGAAGGCCUUCGGGUUGUAAACUGCUUUUGUACGGAACGAAACGGUCCGGGUUAAUACCCUGGGCUAAUGACGGUACCGUAAGAAUAAGCACCGGCUAACUACGUGCCAGCAGCCGCGGUAAUACGUAGGGUGCAAGCGUUAAUCGGAAUUACUGGGCGUAAAGCGUGCGCAGGCGGUUUUGUAAGACAGGCGUGAAAUCCCCGGGCUCAACCUGUGAAUUGCGCUUGUGACUGCAAGGCUGGAGUGCGGCAGAGGGGGAUGGAAUUCCGCGUGUAGCAGUGAAAUGCGUAGAUAUGCGGAGGAACACCGAUGGCGAAUGCAAUCCCCUGGGCCUGCACUGACGCUCAUGCACGAAGCGUGGGGAGC
Molecule: ribosomal RNA, 701 nt
Filed under: uncultured bacterium
Lineage: Bacteria
Description: bacterial SSU rRNA
Rfam family: Bacterial small subunit ribosomal RNA
Source: RNAcentral